UAGUUAUUUGUUUUACAAGGGGGCAAAGUUGUUGUUUAACCGCUCGUGCUAAUAUUGAUACCCGACGAGUGGUUCGAGAAGUGGAAUCUUGAGCGUUGCGAGGGUUUCAAAGCACGAGGGUUAAACAAAAUUUGCCCUCGAGUGAAACACAAAAUUUUUCACCACACCAACCCGAAGCAAAUAUUAAAUGUAAAAUAUCAAACAAAA
This is a long non-coding RNA of Cydia splendana, 207 nucleotides long. RefSeq lists it as uncharacterized. The record is from RefSeq and is a predicted model, not a curated record. The transcript is spliced from 2 exons. Lineage: Eukaryota; Metazoa; Arthropoda; Insecta; Lepidoptera; Tortricidae.